This is a non-coding RNA of Podarcis lilfordi (Lilford's wall lizard), 139 nucleotides long. The record is from the annotation of a GenBank genome assembly. NCBI's taxonomy places the organism in Eukaryota, Metazoa, Chordata, Lepidosauria, Squamata, Lacertidae.
AGGAGGGAGGGAGAGGGAGAGAGAGAGAGAGAGAAAGAGAGGGAAAGAGAAAGAGAGGUUUUUCUUGUCAUCUAUCCUCCUUUUCUUCCUCCUUGUUUUCCUCCUUCUUUCUCCAUCUCCUCCCGCUCUUCUUCCGCCU